This 1877-nucleotide ribosomal RNA is filed under the name human gut metagenome. Its description in RNAcentral is "bacterial LSU rRNA". It matches the Rfam family "Bacterial large subunit ribosomal RNA", at positions 960 to 2856 of the family's 2925-position model. The record is from RNAcentral.
AUGCCGUAUUCUUUUGCUUGGGAGUCAGACUAUGGGUGAUAAGAUUCAUAGUCAAAAGGGCAACAGCCCAGAUCGUCAGCUAAGGUCCCUAAAUGUACGUUAAGUGGUAAAGGAUGUGGGAUUGCACAGACAACCAGGAUGUUGGCUUAGAAGCAGCCACUCAUUUAAAGAGUGCGUAAUAGCUCACUGGUCGAGUGAUCCUGCGCCGAAAAUUUCCGGGGCUAAAACGUACUACCGAAGCUACGGCAUCAUUUAUGAUGGGUAGGGGAGCUUCGUAUGCAGGCUGAAGCAUGACCGUAAGGACAUGUGGACAGUAUACGAGUGAGAAUGUUGGCAUGAGUAGCGAGAUGUGGGUGAGAAUCCCACAGGCCGUAAACCCAAGGUUUCCAGGGGAAGGUUCGUCCGCCCUGGGUUAGUCAGGACCUAAGCCGAGGCCGAAAGGCGUAGGUGAUGGACAACAGGUUGAUAUUCCUGUACCACCAAUAACCGUUUGAGAAAUGGGAUGACACAGUAGGAUAAGCUAACCGCACUGUUGGUUAUGUGCGGGCAAGUAUUGAGGCAGUUCCGAUAGGCAAAUCCGUCGGAAUAAUGCUGGGGUACGAUGCGGAGCGAAAUUUAGUAGCGAAGUAGCUGAUUUCACACUGUCGAGAAAAGUCUCUAUCGAGGUUAAAGGUGCCUGUACCGCAAACCGACACAGGUGGGUGAGGAGAGUAUCCUAAGGCCAGCGAGAGAACUGUUGUUAAGGAACUCGGCAAAAUGACCCCGUAACUUAGGGAGAAGGGGUGCCUUCGAAAGAAGGCCGCAGAGAAUAGGCCCAAGCGACUGUUUACCAAAAACAUAGGUUUCUGCUAAGUCGCAAGACGAUGUAUAGGAGCUGACGCCUGCCCGGUGCUGGAAGGUUAAGGGGAUCUGUUAGAGCAAUCGAAGCAGUGAACUUAAGCCCCAGUAAACGGCGGCCGUAACUAUAACGGUCCUAAGGUAGCGAAAUUCCUUGUCGGGUAAGUUCCGACCCGCACGAAAGGCGUAACGAUUUGGGCACUGUCUCAACAACAGACUCGGUGAAAUUGUAAUACCGGUGAAGAUGCCGGUUACCUGCGACAGGACGGAAAGACCCCAUGGAGCUUUACUGUAGCUUGACAUUGAGUCUCGGUGCUACAUGUACAGGAUAGGUGGGAGACUAUGAAGCAUGGACGUCAGUCUGUGUGGAGUCAUCCUUGGGAUACCACCCUUGUAGUACUGGGAUUCUAACCAGAGGCCAUGAAUCUGGUCUUGGGACACUGUCAGGUGGACAGUUUGACUGGGGCGGUCGCCUCCCAAAAAGUAACGGAGGCGCUCAAAGGUUCUCUCAGUACGGUCGGAAAUCGUACGAAGAGUGUAAAGGCAAAAGAGAGCUUGAUUGCAAGACAUACAGGUCGAGCAAGGACGAAAGUCGGACUUAGUGAUCCGGUGGUUCCGCAUGGAAGGGCCAUCGCUCAACGGAUAAAAGCUACCCUGGGGAUAACAGGCUGAUCUCCCCCAAGAGUCCACAUCGACGGGGAGGUUUGGCACCUCGAUGUCGGCUCAUCACAUCCUGGGGCUGUAGUAGGUCCCAAGGGUUGGGCUGUUCGCCCAUUAAAGUGGUACGCGAGCUGGGUUCAGAACGUCGUGAGACAGUUCGGUCCCUAUCCGUCGCAGGCGUAGGAAAUUUGAGGAGACCUGUCCUUAGUACGAGAGGACCGGGAUGGACGUACCGCUGGUGUACCAGUUGUUCUGCCAAGGGCAUGGCUGGGUAGCUAAGUACGGAAAGGAUAAGCGCUGAAAGCAUCUAAGCGCGAAGCCCACUUCAAGAUAAGAUUUCCCACCGCAAGGUUAAGAUCCCAGGAAGACUACCUGGUUGA